UCAAAGCAGGAGGUUGGUUGCUGUUCUUGAAAUAAGAUUUUACUAGGAAGUAGUGUUUUAAAUCUUCUGAAAUGGAAGGAUAAAAUGGCACCUGAGUCCUCUCAGCAGUUUGAGGGACAGUUCCCAAAUCCUUCUCAGUGCCCUCUCCCAGUAAAUAUUUGAGAGCUGUGACAGGUCAGGGGUGCUUGAGCAAGCAGAGCCUCCCAAAGGUGUGCAGGGCAUGCUCUGAAAUGUCAGAUCUGUUUGGUGCAGCUUUUUAUUGUGCUGACAGGUGCAGUUAAAAGUGAUUCACAUCCUGAUCAUCAGCUAUGUUUUUCUUUCCUCAGGUUUCAACUGCCCACAAUUAAAGGCAAUAAAUUAGAGAGAAAAUGAGGAAGAGCUGCAGCAGAACGCUGGAGGUAAAGGUGAGGUACUGGGUGUGGGCUGGUGGCUGCUGGAGCUGUCAGGGACUUCCCAGCCAGGGCUCUGGCUUUUAUUUUACAGCUGAGGCAGAGAAACUUCAAUUCUGCAGAAAGGUCAGUCAAAACAAAGACAGUUUUUUCCUUUUCAGUGCAAAACAAGAUUCUGCAUUCUGGCAGGUAAAGACAAGGCAGAAUGUAUAUUGUUGUAAUUAUAUAAAGUAAAUAGUGUCUGACUUCUAAUUUGUUCCUAGAAAAAAUGUAGAAGUCUUGGUGAACCUAGUUGAAAUUGAGGUGGGAAAUGAGCUAAAGUAAUAUGUUUCUAACCAGGAUUUACAGAGCUAAGUAAAUGAGAAAAUGUUUUUCUGUAAACUUCAGCAGAAACCACAUUAGGUAAAUCAGUUCCAGUUCCACAGCAAAGAAGGGACAGCUGAGCCCACAGUAACAGGUACUUCAUAGUAAAAAAUACUACAUUUGAUUUUUAAAUGCAUAUGGUUUGAAAACAAAAACAGCCUAUAAAUAAAUGGCCAUAUGCUUUAUCUACUAGUCUAAUUCAGCUUUUUGACAGCCAUUCAUUGCUUUGUGUUUUCUGUCAGUACAAAGUGUAAUUACAAAGCCUCUGCUCUGCAGCAUUUACAGGGUCUGGUGACCUUCAGAUUCUUUGAGGAGCUGUCCUUGUCCCCAGGAGGGAAAGCUGGCUGGCCUGAGCAGCAACCUGAGCUUUUUGUGAGCAGGCUGCAGUUUUCCUGCAGUCCCAGGAUGGUGUUUCCACUGGGAGGGAGCAGCUGGAUUUGAAAAGAGCAUUUGCCUGACGGUGGCCUUUGCCAUGCAAUUGUCUCACCACACCCAGCAGCUCCUGCUCUGAGCCCUGUCCCACCUCAAGGAGUUCCCUAUGCUGUGCCAUGGAGUGGAGGAAACACAGCUUGGUCUGAGCUGUGGGAACGCCCUGGCCCUGGUGGAGCACAAGGAGCACCUGCACCCAGACCCCUGCACAGAUUGCCUCAGGACUGGCUGGAGAACAGGAGCUAGUCAAGACCAGCUGAAGUCCACAGGGAUAGCAUCCCACUCUUCCGAGGGAAAACAGCGAUGUCAGUUCGUGCAGCCUCAUUUGCAAGUCGCUGUUGCUCCCCUCUCUCCUGGUUAUGUCCUGCUGGAACUGGCACAGCUGGGACUGCAGAACAAGGCAGGAGCUCUCAGGUGUGGGGGGCUCUGGGCAGGGCCCCUCAGCACCCACCCAGGGCUCCAGGAGUGGCAUUUCAUUAACACCAUCAACAGUGAGGCCCAGGGAUUUUCAGGUGAGGGAGUUGAGCCACACAGUAAAUUCAGGAAGUGCUAAUUGGACUGAAUUCUACUCAGUAGUAAUUUAAUUAUAUUAGAAUUCUCAAGCUAAACCAACACUGAACCAGUUGAAUUGGCUUCCAGAGUUGGAAACUUUUACCACCAAUUUCCAUGAGAGACAUGAGAGACAUAAUUACAGCUGUGACUGGGAUUUAUUUUUGUUUCCUAUCAAGGAUAUUUUGACUAAUUUCUUAGGUUAUCAGGACACACAAAAUAUCCCUUUGGGACAGCCCACUAAUCAGGUUGAUCCUGAUUUCUUCAUGUAAAGAACAGUUAGGGUUUUUUUUAAAUCACGGUUUUAUGUUCUACUAUAAAGGUUUUACCAUCACCAGUGUCUAUGAGUAAAGUAACUGCACAGCCAGAAGACACCCAAAAGGUGCCUGUGGAAGAUCUCUGCUGCUGUAGUGCACACAGGCAGCAGAGCCCCUUACCCUGAGGCUGCGGAUCUCCCUGUCCUUGUCCUCCCUCAGGUUGUUGAUCAUCUCCACGUAGCGGCUGGAGAGCUCGUCUGUCGUGGUCUGCAGGGUGGGGCUGGAGCAGCUCUGCAGCAAAGAACCCAAUUUUAUUUUACAAAGAGAGUUUUCAUCGUUAGUUUUCCUGCACUGAUCCCUCUGAGUCUGGGACUCAGCCACUGCACCCAGCCAGGACAAUGCUGUGACAUUCUCAGCGGUGCUGAGCACUUGGGCUGGGAUGGAAACAACAGCAAUUGUCUGCUGCCUGCAUCCACAGGGCUGGGAUGGCUGAAGGCCAGAGAACCUGUGGAGCUGCCAAAGGCACCCCUGUCCAUCCAGCCCAGAGAACCUGUGGAGCUGCCAAAGGCACCCCUGUCCAUCCAGCCCAGAGAACCUGUGGAGCUGCCAAAGGCACCCCUGUCCAUCCAGCCCAGAGAACCUGUGGAGCUGCCAAAGGCACCCCUGUCCAUCCAGCCCUGAGAACCUGUGGAGCUGCCAAAGGCACCCCUGUCCAUCCAGCCCCUGAGGCACUGACAGAGCAGCCACUGCCACCAGCACAGCCACAGCCUGGAAUGCCAGCCCUGGGCUCCUGCUCCAGCUGGGAGCAGCUGGAGGAGGAGCAGGACUCACCCCCAGGUCAUCCUGCAAAUGGCAGAGCUCCUCCCGCAGGUUCUUGAACGUGGAAAGCACAAGUCUCAGGGAUUUGUCCGACGUCACUCUCAUCUGGGAGGGGAGAAAUGAAAAGGAUAAUUGGGUUUAAUUAGGCAGCUUUGUUUACAAUGUGCCUGACAAGAGGUAGAACAGAAACUGCUUUACAGCUGACAGUAACUUCUAAAACCAUUGCACGUCCUUUGAAGUGCCCACAGUUUCUACAGGAAAUAUUUUCCUUCCACUUUGUUCUGCAAAUGCCAAUGUUCAGUUUCUGCCUUGUAACACAGGACAACGUUGUUAAAAUGAAGGAGCAACAGGGUAAGGAACUGCCUUUGUACACCAAUAAAGGGAAAAACAAAUGUGUUAAUAUUGUACAAUUAUUAUCAGAGCUUUAAAAGCUUUGUGCUUACACUGAUUUUUAAAAAUUACUGCCCUGCCUUAAAAGGCACAGAGGAAUGAGUCAUGUUUGAGAUCUGGCAAAGCUCUGGGCUCAAGGAUGAGGGACUUUAAUUAACAUUUUUAAAAAUUUAAAUUAAAAAAGCUCAUACAGCCAACUCCUCCCUUUAAAAGGAAAAAGAUCCCAAAGAUGAAAGGAGUCAUCUGGAUGAAAGAGAAAACCAUAAGUGACCACAGCCCACUGUUCUCCUUUGGAAUGCUAAUCUUAAUGCCUUUAAUAGCUGUGUAUUGAUUCAGGUGAAAAUAUUAAUUGUUGCAUUUCAUGAUACACUUAUAGUAUUUACAAGAAAAAUAACAGACUUUGAAAGGACACACAAAUAACUCCUCAAGUUGUAACACUCCUUGAAAGGGCUGAAUAUUCUGUACAAAAGCUGUGGGUCCUUUUCUGUCCAGACCAAAGUGAAACUUUGAGCUCUCAUGCUCUCUAUCCGUAAGAAAAUUGGCCCUUGCCCAGUUUUUUAUCCCCACUGGUGCCGUGGUGUGACUGAGACUUCACUCCUAGCACAACUCACCUUUUUGUUUGUUUUGUGAUUAAAGUGGAAUUUUACUUUUGUCUUAUGGUAUUAUUGGUUUUAUUGUGUAAUACACUACAGAGUAGUUUGAAAGAAGGAAUUGAGUCAAAGGGUGAAAUUUA
Long non-coding RNA from Onychostruthus taczanowskii (white-rumped snowfinch), 3929 nucleotides. RefSeq lists it as uncharacterized. The transcript is spliced from 5 exons. The record is from RefSeq and is a predicted model, not a curated record. NCBI's taxonomy places the organism in Eukaryota, Metazoa, Chordata, Aves, Passeriformes, Passeridae.